GACCUCCGAAGUUAAGCGGCGCAGGGCCCGGUUAGUACUGGGGUGGGGGACCGCCCGGGAAGACCUUAGGGUGCUGUCGGCU
RNAcentral lists this ribosomal RNA (82 nucleotides) under Karlodinium veneficum. The record is from RNAcentral. Lineage: Eukaryota; Dinophyceae; Gymnodiniales; Kareniaceae.